Molecule: ribosomal RNA, 742 nt
Filed under: Stenotrophomonas sp.
Lineage: Bacteria; Pseudomonadati; Pseudomonadota; Gammaproteobacteria; Lysobacterales; Lysobacteraceae
Description: bacterial SSU rRNA
Rfam family: Bacterial small subunit ribosomal RNA
Source: RNAcentral
GCUCAGAGUGAACGCUGGCGGUAGGCCUAACACAUGCAAGUCGAACGGCAGCACAGGAGAGCUUGCUCUCUGGGUGGCGAGUGGCGGACGGGUGAGGAAUACAUCGGAAUCUACUUUUUCGUGGGGGAUAACGUAGGGAAACUUACGCUAAUACCGCAUACGACCUACGGGUGAAAGCAGGGGAUCUUCGGACCUUGCGCGAUUGAAUGAGCCGAUGUCGGAUUAGCUAGUUGGCGGGGUAAAGGCCCACCAAGGCGACGAUCCGUAGCUGGUCUGAGAGGAUGAUCAGCCACACUGGAACUGAGACACGGUCCAGACUCCUACGGGAGGCAGCAGUGGGGAAUAUUGGACAAUGGGCGCAAGCCUGAUCCAGCCAUACCGCGUGGGUGAAGAAGGCCUUCGGGUUGUAAAGCCCUUUUGUUGGGAAAGAAAUCCAGCUGGCUAAUACCCGGUUGGGAUGACGGUACCCAAAGAAUAAGCACCGGCUAACUUCGUGCCAGCAGCCGCGGUAAUACGAAGGGUGCAAGCGUUACUCGGAAUUACUGGGCGUAAAGCGUGCGUAGGUGGUCGUUUAAGUCCGUUGUGAAAGCCCUGGGCUCAACCUGGGAACUGCAGUGGAUACUGGGCGACUAGAGUGUGGUAGAGGGUAGCGGAAUUCCUGGUGUAGCAGUGAAAUGCGUAGAGAUCAGGAGGAACAUCCAUGGCGAAGGCAGCUACCUGGACCAACACUGACACUGAGGCA